UACGUAGGGUGCAAGCGUUAAUCGGAAUUACUGGGCGUAAAGCGUGCGCAGGCGGUCCGUUAAGACAGAUGUGAAAUCCCCGGGCUUAACCUGGGAACUGCAUUUGUGACUGGCGGACUCGAGUAUGGCAGAGGGGGGUAGAAUUCCACGUGUAGCAGUGAAAUGCGUAGAGAUGUGGAGGAAUACCGAUGGCGAAGGCAGCCCCCUGGGCCAAUACUGACGCUCAU
RNAcentral lists this ribosomal RNA (227 nucleotides) under uncultured bacterium. RNAcentral's name for it is "partial 16S ribosomal RNA". It matches the Rfam family "Bacterial small subunit ribosomal RNA", at positions 524 to 750 of the family's 1533-position model. The record is from RNAcentral.